GUACCAACCUGCCCCAUGCUCCAGAAUAGCUCUUGGAAACGGGUGGUAAUGCUGGAUGCUCCAACUUGACGCAUGUCUUGUUGGGAAAGUGUUUAGUGGCAUGGGAUGGGGUCGCGUCCUAUCAGCUUGUAGGCGGGGUAAUGGCCCACCUAGGCUUCGACGGGUAGCCGGCCUGAGAGGGCGGACGGCCACAUUGGGACUGAGAUACGGCCCAGACUCCUACGGGAGGCAGCAGCU
Molecule: ribosomal RNA, 237 nt
Filed under: uncultured Gardnerella sp.
Lineage: Bacteria; Bacillati; Actinomycetota; Actinomycetes; Bifidobacteriales; Bifidobacteriaceae
Description: partial 16S ribosomal RNA
Rfam family: Bacterial small subunit ribosomal RNA
Source: RNAcentral